RNAcentral lists this long non-coding RNA (3588 nucleotides) under Triticum aestivum (bread wheat). Its description in RNAcentral is "long non-coding RNA (TAES_LNC023652)". The record is from RNAcentral. Lineage: Eukaryota; Viridiplantae; Streptophyta; Magnoliopsida; Poales; Poaceae.
UAGAUCUGUUCCCUAGCAAAGCUUCGGCGCUGAUGUUUCGCUAAACGGACAGCUUUGAGGGACCUUACGUAACAGCGUCGCGUCUUAGAAUGGUUUGAGCUAUAGUUCGAGGGGCUGAUGCGGAUGCAUAAGAGACUGACGGUGUCAUGCUAUAUGUUCGGUCGGUAACUGGAGGCAGUACGGUCACGGUUUGCUCUUUGAGUGUCCAAAGAGAUUUUGAAGCCAUCGAACACUGUAUUUCUUCUGUAAUACCAAGUUAUAAAUUAGGGAAGUGCAGAGUUACACUGCCAUUGUAACGGUUCAUCGCUCAAGGCACCAACGAUGUGUAACUUUUGUACCAAUGAUGAUAUUGAAUUUUAAAGACGGAUGCUGCCAUGCCAUGGUAACAUGCCAAGAACACCCCUUGGAGUUAUGUAACUAGCGGUAUAUGCUAAGAGUUUCUUUUCGGACGGUGUGUUUUGACUCCUAGGCUCAUCUGAGCCCGGAAGUGAACAGUAAAUUCGCCAAAAAUAGUAAAAAAAUUCAAUUCUUUUUGUGAUGAAAGAUGCUUGAGUUCGUGAUGUAUGUGCAAAAAUUCAGAGCAUUUGAACACCUGACGAGCUCUCGGCAAAUUUGGGGGCUGUGAACGUUCUCAGGCAUCUUUCAACACAAUUUUUUUUAGAAUUUUUGAUUUUUAAGUAUUUUUCUGAAUUUAUUGUUUAGAGGGUGUAGAUGAGCUCGGGAGCUGAAUUGAAUAUUCGUUUCUUUCAGCUUAUUAUGGAGAACAUCUGAUACGGCAUGGUUUUGGCCCAAGGGUUAUCUUUCCAAUUUGAGUUCUUAAUGCUGAUUUAAUUGUUUGGCAAUUUUCUGAUCUUGAUAUCAUGUAAUAAAGUAUAGUUGUCUAAAAUGUUAGUAUCUCUGGGAAGGUUGGAAAUGUGUGAAGGGCUGCAUGUCAUUCUCAUCAUUUGCCUGUUAAAUUAGCUGGUGCCUUGAUGUUUGUAAUCAUAUUCGGAAUUGUCAUCAUUACAGCGGAUGGAUCUCUAAUGAAUAUCAAUUUGAUGUACCUUUUCUUGCUGGUGCUAUGUUUGAUCCUCAGAUGUUUUUGGGGCUAUUCUUUUGAAAAUCUUGCCACUGAGAACUCCAUUGACGAAGACGGAAGCGGUAUUGAUGCUAAUGUAGAGUAUUGUUCUGUAAUAAAGACGAAAUUGGGCACGCAUCGCAUUGUCAUGGGUGCUGAGAUGGACUGCUGUGAUUCAACCGACGAUGGUAGGCGGUUCUAUGUGGAGUUGAAAACAAGCAGAGAGGUCGUUCUUCUUUUCCAUGAGCUUUCAGUGUUCUGAUACCACAUAUAUUCAAUCUAGUCACCAUUCUGAAUUUUGUAACAGCUGGAGUAUCAUACGGUGGAAAAAUUUGAGAAAGAGAAGUUACUUAGGUUUUGGGUAAUUUCUUGUCCUCUUAUUUUUUGUAGCUAUUUCAUGACACCAUUUUUUUAUCAUAACUAUCGUUUGCAACUUAUUCUGUUCUCUUCCACAGCGUGAAAUCCUAUAUUGAGACUGUGCUCCAUAUGAUCUUAGAACAGUUCCUUUUAUUAAGUUUCUUACAUUUUUAAUUGACCCCCUUAAGUUCUGAGGAUGAUUUGUUUCUUGUAUGCGGGGACUGAGGAUAUAUGCUAACAACUUUACAUGGCCAUCUUGUUAUGAUUCUCUCUGCGAUCACAACUUCAGCUUCAUAGUAUUUUAUCUUCAGAAGUCAUAUCUACUAUAUAUAGCUUGAAACAUUAACUUUUAAUUUACUGAAUAUUACAGAUUCAACCAUUCCUUGUUGGCGUGUCGUAUGUUGUCGUGGGAUUCAGGUAGUAUUCAAUCAUCACGACAUUCUUUGUUAGUACUUCAAGCUUCCUGUCAGAGAAUAAUACAUCAGAGCUUUAGUAUAUAUCAAAUUAUCUAUUAUAACAGGCCUAAUGAUACAUAACUUUUUUGAGUUUGUAGUUCCUUCAGUUUAAUUUGUUUGACCACUUUUCAAGCAUUUUGUUCAAACUUUUAUGCUUACUGUCUAACACACUGCAUGCUACAUAACCUGUGGUUUUUGCUUAAUAAUGAGACAUUCAACCAGAAAGACAUUCAAAUUCCAAUCCUCUAAUAUUGGCUAUAUGGUUGAUACAAUUAGGAAGGGGAGUACGAUUACCUUUUCUGUCUGACUCUGUUCAGUGUUGUUUGUGAUGUGUAGAUGGAUUGGCUGCAAUGUUCAAAAUUGGUUUUAACUUGAUCAAGUUACACUCCUCUCUUUUUGGCUUUGCAGGAAUGAUGCUGGUGUACUUAUACGAACUGAGAGACUAAGAACUAAAGAUAUUACACAAAAAGUGAAAGCAAAGAACUACUGGCAGGUAUACUAAAUUAAUUCCAUGUUGUUCAUUCACAACAGUGGAGUCUAUGAUAUGUAAGGAAGAACAUGAGUGUGUGAGUAUAAUAUUAGGACUUAGAAGCGCAUAAUAACCUAUAUAGAAAGUCGAAUAACUGGUUUGCCUUGCCAAAUCUUAAAUAAUAGUGGAAAGGAGUGUACACUUGCCAUUACUCUGAUGCUGCAGUCCCUUUUUCUGUUUUACGCGUAGGAUAACUGAUAACUGCCCUCUUUUGUAGGAGAGUACCAAAUUACUUGCUAUGCAACAUAUGUGACUAGCUUAAUUUUAAUUAAAUGUAUGGUUCUAAAUUACUUUCUUGCAUUUCCCACUGUAAUAUUCAGGGUGGUGUCUGCUUGGCCUUUGCUGACGAGGUUUUAUGCUGGCUGUAUGGCACUGUCAAAGAAAGUGAGAAUUCCUUCACCACUCUUACUAGAUGCAUCUUCACCUUCCUCUCUCAAAAAUAUGCACUUGUUGCCAUUCAUAAUCCCGAGUAGUUCUCUUCAUGUGCGUGAUAUCGUUUGCCCCAUGUCUUGCAGAUGAAGACUAUGUUCUGCAAUUUGCACACCCGUUCCAUCGAUUGGAACUAUUAAAAGCCCAGUCUCCAUGCCCCGAGGCAAUAACUCUGCAUGUGGAACAGCUCACCGGUGCAACAAACUAGAUCUGUUCCCUAGCAAAGCUUUGGCGCUGAUGUUUCGCUAAACGGACAGCUUUGAGGGACCUUAUGUAACAGCGUCGCGUCUUAGAAUGGUUCGAGCUAUAGUUCGAGGGGCUGAUGCGGAUGCAUAAGAGACUGACGGUGUCAUGCUAUAUGUUCGGUCGGUAACUGGAGGCAGUACGGUCACGGUUUUCUCUUUGAGUGUCCAAAGAGAUUUUGAAGCCAUCGAACACUGUAUUUCUUCUGUAAUACCAAGUUAUAAAUUAGGGAAGUGCAGAGUUACACUGCCAUUGUAACGGUUCAUCGCUCAAGGCACCAACGAUGUGUAACUUUUGUACCAAUGAUGAUAUUGAAUUUUAAAGACGGAUGCUGCCAUGCCAUGGUAACAUGCCAAGAACACCCCUUGGAGUUAUGUAACUAGCGGUAUAUGCUAAGAGUUUCUUUUCGGACGGUGUGUUUUGACUCCUAGGCUCAUCUGAGCCCGGAAGUGAACAGUAAAUUCGCCAAAAAUAGUAAAAAAAAUUCAAUUCUUUUUGUGGUGAAAGAUGCUCGAGUU